AUACAUUUAGUGUUUUGCUGUUUCAACAACAGUUAUGGAGACUUUAUAUUUUUUCAUGUUUAUGACCAUUUUGUCAUGUGUUCGCUCAGAUAUUGUGCUGACCCAGAAAGGUAAUGAAGUCAAAAAACCUGGAGAGUCUCUGAGACUGACUUGUCAAGGUGCAGGGCAGGACAGUGAUGGAGAUACUAUUACUGCUUACGGCUUGCACUGGAUUCGACAAGAGCCUGGAAAAGGACUUGAAUGGCUGGCUUACAUUAACGCUGGCAGCAGCACUAUAGAGUAUGCCAGCAGCAUUAAAGGAAGAUUUAUAAUCUCCAGAGACAACUCUAAACAGGCUCUGUAUUUGGAUAUGAACAACCUCAAAAUUGAAGACACGGCCAAAUAUUACUGCACUACAAGCACAAUGAGGAACUGCAUACUGUCACUUAUACAAAAUCCUCACCAAAAACUGUUCUGUUCAAAGAAUAAAAAGAAAAAAGAAAAACAAUAG
Molecule: non-coding RNA, 490 nt
Organism: Erpetoichthys calabaricus (reedfish)
Lineage: Eukaryota; Metazoa; Chordata; Cladistia; Polypteriformes; Polypteridae
Source: the annotation of a RefSeq genome assembly